This is a non-coding RNA of Vicugna pacos (alpaca), 162 nucleotides long. NCBI's taxonomy places the organism in Eukaryota, Metazoa, Chordata, Mammalia, Artiodactyla, Camelidae. The record is from Rfam.
ACAAGACAAUAGAUACAAAAGGAAAAGUGUGACUGCUCUGACAGCAAAAACAAGCAACUAUCUCCAGAGGGGAUUAGUCCCUCUGCUUCAAAGUAACCAAAACAAAGACAGCCGAGCCAGCUUCCCUGGAACAACACCUGCCCAUCAAACAAGUAUGAGAUC